Molecule: non-coding RNA, 408 nt
Organism: Camellia sinensis
Lineage: Eukaryota; Viridiplantae; Streptophyta; Magnoliopsida; Ericales; Theaceae
Source: RefSeq, a predicted model, not a curated record
GUUAGAGAAAAAGAGAGAGAAACCGUGAGAGAGAGUGAGAGAGAGAGAGAGAUGAAGCCCAUUUAAUUUUCUUUGCUGGGAGGAAUUUGAUAGGAAGCUUAGAAUUAAAGAUAAAGGAAGAUCUUGAAGACUAAUAGGUGGGCAUCCGAGGCCUUAUAUCGACUUAACCAACUGUGAGUAACAUUCCUAUAAAGGUGGUCAGGCACCGGAUCAAAGUUAGCGGCGUCAUCCUAAUUCCAUUUCGUCAAGCCAACCCACUGUGCCUCCCGUGGAGGUUUCGGAUAUGUCUAGUGAUUAUGGCUAAGUGCAUAAGUUGAAGUUUUGUUUUCCUGUUCAGCUAAACAAGUCUUUGUGUAUUUUGUAAAUAGGGCUAAGUCUCUUUUUGUCUAGCUUAUAUAUGUAUAUAUA